GUCUCAAGCAGAUUUAGAUUUAGAAACAUAGGCGUUGCACAAAAGAAUCCCAUUUGAAGUUUUGUAAAAUAGACCGAAAGGUUUUCAAGGAAGUCAGUCUGGACAGUUUCAGUUUGGAUUGAAGAACUGAACGGAUCGGUG
Long non-coding RNA from Thalassophryne amazonica, 141 nucleotides. RefSeq lists it as uncharacterized. The transcript has 3 exons. Lineage: Eukaryota; Metazoa; Chordata; Actinopteri; Batrachoidiformes; Batrachoididae. The record is from RefSeq and is a predicted model, not a curated record.